AUUGAACGCUGGCGGCAGGCCUAACACAUGCAAGUCGAGCGAGCGGCGGACGGGUGAGUAAUGUAUGGGGACUGCCCGAUCGAGGGGGAUAACUACUGGAAACGGUAGCUACUACCGCAUAUUAUCGGAUAACCCAUAUGGGAUUAGCUAGUAGGUGAGGUAAUGGCUCACCUAGCCGACGAUCCCUAGCUGGUCUGAGAGAAUGAUCAGCCAAACUGGGACUGAGACACGGCCCAGAUACCUACGGAGGCAGCAGUGGGGAAUAUUGCACAAUGGGCGCAAGCCUGAUGCAGCCAUGCCGAGUGUAUGAAGAAGGCACUAGGGUUGUAAAGUACUUUCAGUCGGGAGGCGUUACCGACAGAAGAAGCACCGGCUAACUCCGUGCCAGCAGCCGCGGUAAUAC
This 403-nucleotide ribosomal RNA is filed under the name uncultured bacterium. RNAcentral describes it as "partial 16S ribosomal RNA". It matches the Rfam family "Bacterial small subunit ribosomal RNA", at positions 30 to 526 of the family's 1533-position model. The record is from RNAcentral.